This 27-nucleotide small RNA is filed under the name Bombyx mori (domestic silkworm). RNAcentral describes it as "ovarian small RNA-35815". The record is from RNAcentral. Lineage: Eukaryota; Metazoa; Arthropoda; Insecta; Lepidoptera; Bombycidae.
UGUCUGGAUCGUUCUUCGGCGUCUUGG